This 2372-nucleotide long non-coding RNA is filed under the name Populus tremula. RNAcentral describes it as "long non-coding RNA (PTRE_LNC000077)". The record is from RNAcentral. Lineage: Eukaryota; Viridiplantae; Streptophyta; Magnoliopsida; Malpighiales; Salicaceae.
GUUUGGUUUUAAUUAGGAAUUUAGUGCUAGUUGGUUCUGAAUGGUUGCUUUUUAUACUGGUUAUGGUUGAGUGUUUUAUGGGGGAUGGUGGAGAUUAGGAGGGGGGCACCAGGUAUGUAUUUGGGGGGGGGGUUUGUGGAUGGUCGAUUCCAUAAUGAAGUGGAUCAAUGGAUUGUUAGUUGCAAUUUGGUUUGAAUGGCUUUCCUCUCUUGUUUCUCAUAAGAAAUCUUUACCACGUCAGUGUAUCUCUACUUAUCUGUCAAUAUAAUAUUUGCACGCCUUAUAUUUUUUUAGGAUGUUUGAUUCUCCCUGAUUGCCUGUUCUCCGUUUGAAUAUUCUUCCCAUGGCAAUUGAAGUAUUGAAUCCUCCUGGGUGUUCAAAUAAGCAUAGAGGUUUAUGCUACACGUUAUUUUCAUUCUCCUGUAUGUACAACAGGUAAAGGUUAAUUAUGUCCUUCCAUAAGGUUAAUUCAGAGAUCGCAAGAUUGGAGUGGAUCCUACUUUCUCCUUCAUAUUGCCUGGACUGGUUAAUGCUACUUGAUUCAUUUUUGUUUCAUGAAGUUGAAGUUGAACCUCAGUGAAAUUGCAUCAUUGGAGGUUCAUAUAAUUAGCAUGAUGUGUUUAAGAUAGGAAUUCACAGAUUGAGAAAAAGGUAAAAUGGAAAUGCAAAAGAUUCUGUAGCAGAAGCGAAGCAACUAUCAGGACCCUCGAGUAUUACAGAAGCACCUGGUAUUACGGCUACCGCUUCACCCUGGUUUGUCGAAUUGAAACAGUGAGGUAGAAGCUUUCUAGCCAGGAUCUGUAUGGUGUUGGUAGAGGACCUGCCAGGCACACAACUAAACAAUUUAUCGGUCUUCAUCCUCACCAAGUCUUGUCUUGUAUUCCGUCUCUGUUCUUGCUACAGAAAUAGUGAGGAUAGGAGGCGGCCUGUGAAUGAAUUGUCAGCCUUGAACCUGUCCAAGUCCAGUCUUGUAUUUUGUCCGUGCUCUUGCUUUUUUCUCAAUUUUGUUUGAAUUGCUAUUUUUCUAGUUGAAAUAGUCAAACAUCUCAGCCAUCCGAUUUAAGAUUUAGUCGUAAGAUGCUGUACGCUUACAGCAAGGGUGUUGUCUGUUGGGGGCUCGAAUUGCUUUCUAGUUUGAUAGUUUCUGGAGUUUUCUCGUACUGAAAUCACGUCGAAGAGUUCCAGCAAGGAAAUUGAAUCAAUAUACCACAAAGCUACAAUGGAACCGCAUCCCAUAUAAUUUGUCAAGCUCGGUCGAAGCUGGGACAUUGAAAACUUGCAGUCAAAAUUGGCUGCAGAGUCAUAAGGAUAUUCUGUCUCUAUUCUUUUCUUUAUGAACUCUAAAACUAUAAACUAUAACUUGGAGGAUUAACUGUUGGAAAAUUUUUUAAUUAAAUAAAUUAUGUGUGAAUGAAAAAUUAAUUUCAAAUGACCCUUAGAUUUAAUAGAACUUUUGGUUUUUAUAGAUUUAAUUCUAGAUUUAUGGUGAUUAAUCAAAUGUUAAUAAUGGUGACAAUUAGUUUUUAUUAAUUAUUCAUCCUUUUAACUUUCAAAAUUCACUAUAAAAAAAGGGGGAAUGAAAGUUUUCAACUUGAGUUUUUCCUAUUUUUACACACUUUCUCACCUUUUUUUUAGUGCUCUCAUUCUGCUUUAUGCUUUGAUUUUCCUCUCAAAUUUAGAGUUUAGGUUCAUCUUGUUGAGAGAUAUUUAAGUUUCAUAUUUUUUUUAUUCAAAGACCUUGUUUAAAAGUAUAUCUAAAAUAAGGUGGUGGUAUUGGAAUCUUGAAAAUAUAUUGCAAAUAUCUUAGUUGCAUAAGUGAGACGCAAUACAGUCUCAAGAACAAAAGAUUUCAUCAUUAAAAACAAUAAAAGUCUAAUUACUUCAAAAUACUUCAACGAAUUAGUAUCUUUCUUUGUUUUAAUCUAAGCACGUAUUUUAUUAUUAGAAUGCAUGUUAAUAUUUUAUUAUUAUAUUUAUGUUAAAAACAUGUAUGCCCUGAGUUGUUAUGAUAAGUUAAAUAUCAUUGCUCACUAGUCUACUAUAUAUAUUUACAAACUUUUAUCUUACAUUAAUACCAUGAUACAAUAACCUAAUUGUUUCUAACACUUUUUUCAUGUUUAAAUCCAUGAUAUUGCUUUCAUCAUGUGCAUCCUUUUGCAACUUGAAAAGGAUCUAGCCACCUUGUUAUCUUUUCUUCUUCUUUUGAAGGGAGAAUGAUGGUUCAAUGGGGUGACUAUCCUUGUUUUUAAUGAGCAAAGUUGUUUACAUUAUCACAUUAUUUUUUUGAUCUUUUUAUUUGUGACACUAAAUAUUUUAAUGGAAUCACCAACAUAAGAGAACAUGAAUCUGAUAGCAAAAUACCUUCUAUUUUU